UGGGGAAUUUUGGACAAUGGGCGCAAGCCUGAUCCAGCCAUGCCGCGUGCGGGAAGAAGGCCUUCGGGUUGUAAACCGCUUUUGUCAGGGAAGAAACGAGUUUCUCUAAUACAGAGACUUAAUGACGGUACCUGAAGAAUAAGCACCGGCUAACUACGUGCCAGCAGCCGCGGUAAUACGUAGGGUGCAAGCGUUAAUCGGAAUUACUGGGCGUAAAGCGUGCGCAGGCGGUUAUGCAAGACAGAUGUGAAAUCCCCGGGCUCAACCUGGGACCUGCAUUUGUGACUGUAUAGCUAGAGUACGGUAGAGGGGGAUGGAAUUCCGCGUGUAGCAGUGAAAUGCGUAGAUAUGCGGAGGAACACCGAUGGCGAAGGCAAUCCCCUGGACCUGUACUGACGCUCAUGCACGAAAGCGUGGGGAGCAAACA
This 427-nucleotide ribosomal RNA is filed under the name uncultured bacterium. Its description in RNAcentral is "bacterial SSU rRNA". It matches the Rfam family "Bacterial small subunit ribosomal RNA", at positions 355 to 774 of the family's 1533-position model. The record is from RNAcentral.